AUGCAGUCACACAUACAUGCACUCAUAGACCAUCCACUCCAGAUGCAUCCAAUCACACACACACGCACUCAUAGACACAUGCAGUCACACACACAUGCAAUCACACAUUCAAUCUCACACACAUGCAAUUUCACACACACAUGCAAUCACAUACAUGCAAUCUCACACACACAUGAACUCACAGACACAUGCAGUCACACACACAUGCAAUCACACACACACACUCACAGACACAUGCAAUCACACACACGCAAUCACACACACACGCAAUCACACACAUGCACUCACAGACAUGCAGUCACACACACACAAUCACACACACACAAGCACACACACACAAUCACACACACACAUAUACUCAGACACAUGCAAUCACACACACACAUGCACUCACAGAUGCAUGCAAUCACACACAUGUGCUCACAGACGCAUGCGGUCAUAGACACAUGCGCUCACAGGUGCAUGCAAUCACACACACACUCACAGACACAUGCAAUCACACACACAUGCAAUCACACACACAUGCUCAGAGACACAUGCAAUCAUAGACACACGUGCACUCACAGACACAUGCAAUCACACACAUGCGCUCACAUAUACAUGCAAUCACACACACAUGCAUUCACAGAUACAUGCAAUCACACACACAUGCGUUCACAGACAAAAUCACACACACGUGCUCACAGACACAUUCAAUCACACACACACAUGCACUCACGGACUCAUGCAAUCACACACACACACACAUGCACUCACAGAUGCAUGCAAUCACACACACACAUGCACAUGUGGAGAUAUGUCAAACACACACACACACACGUGCAGUCACAAGACACACACACAUACGUAAAGCAUACCCAUGGGAUCAGGAUCCCUCCAGGUCUCCCGGCCAGGAUCUUGACCAGAGAGAGUGAACCAGAGAGAGUGUCUUGGCACCAAACAAGAGAAAGGAGACCUGGAGGCCUGGGGAGGCUGGGGUCUCUGGGAAGAGGACGGAGCAGUAUGCGGAGGCCCUCGCUGUACUGUGGGAUGGGUGGGCAGUGUGGUCUGAGAAGACCCACCAGGCUCAGCAGAGGCAUGAUAAGUGACCAACCGUCCUGGUUUAUCUGGGGCAGUGGGGGUUCCCAGUACAUGGGACUUUCCAUUGGAAAACAGGGGACAUCCCUCGCAAACCAGGCCACCCCAGGGAGAAAAUCCCAGCAGUGGAGAGAGGGGUCUGGUUCAUUCUCGAGACCUAAAAGUGAAUCAUACUGA
This 1254-nucleotide long non-coding RNA is filed under the name Callithrix jacchus (white-tufted-ear marmoset). Its description in RNAcentral is "lncRNA (ENSCJAG00000083229.1)". The record is from RNAcentral. Lineage: Eukaryota; Metazoa; Chordata; Mammalia; Primates; Cebidae.